GGCUGAAGCACCUCUUUCAUUCUCUCAGUCUUUUUCAUUUCUCUUUCUUCUUCUGUGCACACAUAUCCAAGUUACUAUUUUUGGAUUAUUAUUCAUAACCCUAAAAAAUGUACUUUUCAAUCCCAAACCCUAUCCAAUCAUGCCCAAAUCAACUCUAAACCCUUUCCUACCAAUUGGCCUUCAAUUUAACAAAUUAUUCACUUCUUUGGCCAAGGGGUCUUGUCCUGUCUAGAAGUUACAAGGAUUUUCCCCCCUUUUGGGUGUGUGUGUUCAUGCACAUGCACUUGUUGCAUUUGCCCUUCAGCAAUAAACUUUUUACUUAGUAAUAAUGACGAGGGAACAACACCACUAUUCUCAUAUCAUAAGGCCUUGAACCUAGUAGUUGCAAGUUUAUAACUUUGUUGUGUUUCAUUUGGUGUCUAUUUUUGUUAUAAACCAUUGGAGAAUUUUUUUUUUGGAUAAUCUUUUCUAUAGAACUUAUUUCUGAUUACUAUAUGUGCUUAUUUUGGUCACAGAAAUUUCUUUCAAAUGCUAUUGUAUAGAUAUACGUUGUGACUUAUUAAAUUCAUUCUUGUAGCAUUCUUUCAGCAGAAUUUAUGCGUACAUCUAUACAUGGUGUUCGCAAUAUGGAUGCGGUAAUAUUGUCAAAAAUAAAAGCAAGGGCAAGCCUACCCAAAAAUGGUGAAGAGAAUGAAGUUAAAUUGGAUGAAGAAGAAACAUCCAUUUUUCGAGAUCAAAUUCUACCUCUUACAAUUGGAUUGCUGAGAACAG
This is a non-coding RNA of Camellia sinensis, 771 nucleotides long. The record is from RefSeq and is a predicted model, not a curated record. NCBI's taxonomy places the organism in Eukaryota, Viridiplantae, Streptophyta, Magnoliopsida, Ericales, Theaceae.